UUCCGGUUGAUCCUGCCGGAGGCGACCGCUAUUGGAGUUCGAUUAAGACAUGCGAGUCUGAGCAUUAGCUCGGCGUACCGCUCAGUAACACGUGGGUAACCUGCCCUAUGCUGGGGAAUAACCUCGGGAAACUGAGAACAAUGCCCCAUAGCCCACUACGCCUGGAACGGUGAGUGGGUCAAAGCCCCGGCGGCAUAGGAUGGGCCUGCGCCGUAUCAGGUUGUAGGGGGUGUAAAGUACCCUCUAGCCAUCAACGCGUACGGGUGUUGGGAGGCAUUGCCCGGAGAUGGAUUCUGAGACACGAAUCCAGACCCUACGGGGUGCAGCAGGCGCGAAAACUUGGCAAUGCGAGAAAUCGUGACCAGGGAACUCCAAGUGCGUAGGGUAAGACCUACGCUUUUCUUGACUCUUCAAAGGUCUUGGAAUAAGGGGUGGGUAAGGACGGUGCCAGCCGCCGCGGUAAUACCGGCGCCUCAAGUGGUAGUCGCUUUUAUUGGGCCUAAAACGUCCGUAGCCGGUCUGGUGCAUUCGUGGGUAAAUCAACCCGCUCAACGGGUUGAAUUCUGCGAGCACGGCCAGACUUGGGACCGGGAGAGGUGUGGGGUACUCUCAGGGUAGGGGUAAAAUCCUGUCAUCCUGAGAGGACCACCUGUUGCGAAGGCGCCACACUAGAACGGAUCCGACGGUCAGGGACGAAACCUAGGGGCACGAACCGGAUUAGAUACCCGGGUAGUCCUAGGUGUAAACGCUGUGGACUUGGUGUUGGGGAAGCCCAGAGCUUUCCCAGUGCCGUAGCGAAAGGUGUUGAGUCCACUGCCUGGGGAGUACGGUCGCAAGGCUGAAACUUAAAGGAAUUGGCGGGGGAGCACUGCAACCGGGAGGAGUGUGCGGUUUAUUGGAUUCACGCCGGGA
RNAcentral lists this ribosomal RNA (912 nucleotides) under uncultured archaeon. RNAcentral's name for it is "bacterial SSU rRNA". It matches the Rfam family "Archaeal small subunit ribosomal RNA", at positions 1 to 923 of the family's 1478-position model. The record is from RNAcentral.